This 497-nucleotide ribosomal RNA is filed under the name uncultured bacterium. RNAcentral's name for it is "partial 16S ribosomal RNA". It matches the Rfam family "Bacterial small subunit ribosomal RNA", at positions 28 to 507 of the family's 1533-position model. The record is from RNAcentral.
GAUGAACGCUGGCGGCGUGCCUAAUACAUGCAAGUCGAACGAAGAAGCGAGGAUCUUGCUCGGCGGACGAGAGCGGCACAGGUGAGUAAAACGCGAGUAACACCUACCUAUAAGACGGGUAACGCUUGGGAAAGGGUGAUCUAAUAGCAGAUAAUCUAGUGAACGCAAGGGGGCAGGAGUAAAGGGCGGUUUUGCUGGCGGUUGGACAUGCAGCCGAGCCGCAUGAGCGAGUUGUGAAGGUAACGGCUUACCAAGACAGCGAUGCGUAGCCGACCUGAGAGGGUGAGCGGCCACACUGGAACUGAGACACGGUGCAGACUCCUAGGGGCGGAAGCAGUAGGGAAUCUUCCGCAAUGGGCGAAUGCCUGCCGGAGCAACGCCGCGUGAGUGAUGAAGGUCUUGGGAUCUUAAAACUGUGUUAUUCGGGAAGAAAAAAUGUGUACGUAACUAUGCUCGUCUUGACGGUAGCUAGUAAGAAAGCCACGGCUAACUACGUG